UACGUAGGGGGCAAGCGUUGUCCGGAAUCAUUGGGCGUAAAGAGCGUGUAGGCGGCCCGGUAAGUCCGCUGUGAAAGUCCAGGGCUCAACCCUGGGAUGCCGGUGGAUACUCCCGGGCUCGAGCACUGUAGAGGCAGGUGGAAUUCCGGGUGUAGCGGUGGAAUGCGUAGAGAUCCGGAAGAACACCGGUGGCGAAGGCGGCCUGCUGGGCAGUUGCUGACACUGAGGCGCGAAAGCGUGGGGAGCAAACAGG
RNAcentral lists this ribosomal RNA (253 nucleotides) under uncultured bacterium. RNAcentral describes it as "partial 16S ribosomal RNA". It matches the Rfam family "Bacterial small subunit ribosomal RNA", at positions 524 to 776 of the family's 1533-position model. The record is from RNAcentral.